AGAAUGGUAGACAGAGAUCUCUACAUGAAAAAGAGUGGCAGAAGGAGGGCUGGAAGACAGAUGUGGGAAAUGCGCUCCUGUGUCUUAGGGAUCUGUCCCAGGACCUGACCCAUGCUAAGAAAAGAUUCUGACACCAUGGAAGGAGGAUGCUGUAUAUUUGCUGAUAACUAAUGGACACUGCUAAACCUGCUAAGCUUCAGGGAUGAUGCAAAAGUGCACAAAUAGCUUCUCACUACAAGAAUUAUCCAGGCCACACCAGCUAUA
Mus pahari (shrew mouse) is the source of this 264-nucleotide long non-coding RNA. RefSeq lists it as uncharacterized. The record is from RefSeq and is a predicted model, not a curated record. The transcript is spliced from 3 exons. Lineage: Eukaryota; Metazoa; Chordata; Mammalia; Rodentia; Muridae.